CCUACGGGGGGCAGCAGUGGGGAAUAUUGCGCAAUGGGCGAAAGCCUGACGCAGCGACGCCGCGUGAGGGAUGAAGGUCUUCGGAUCGUAAACCUCUGUCAGCAGGGAAGAACGGUCACUGGGCUAAUCAGCAGUGAAUUGACGGUACCGGCAAAGGAAGCACCGGCUAACUCCGUGCCAGCAGCCGCGGUAAGACGGAGGGUGCGAGCGUUAAUCGGAAUUACUGGGCGGAACGCGCUCGUAGGCGGUAUGUCCAGUCACGGGUGAAAUCCCCGCGCUCAACGUGGGAACUUCCUUUGAAACUGGCAAACUGGAGUGUGUGAGUGUAUAGUUGAAUUCCAGGUGUAGUCGUGACAUCCGUAGAUAUCUGGAGGAACAUCAGUGGCGAAGGCGACUCUCUGGCCCAUAACUGACGCUGAGGAGCGAAAGCGUGGGUAGCAAACAGGAUUAGAUACCCUUGUAGUC
Molecule: ribosomal RNA, 465 nt
Filed under: uncultured bacterium
Lineage: Bacteria
Description: partial 16S ribosomal RNA
Rfam family: Bacterial small subunit ribosomal RNA
Source: RNAcentral